RNAcentral lists this long non-coding RNA (717 nucleotides) under Struthio camelus australis. Its description in RNAcentral is "lncRNA (ENSSCUG00000014230.1)". The record is from RNAcentral. Lineage: Eukaryota; Metazoa; Chordata; Aves; Struthioniformes; Struthionidae.
UAGACAUCAUACAUAUAUAAGCAUGCAGUUUUAAAGAGUACUACUUACCGUCUUGUCGUUCAAGAGGUGUGUAGUCAGGAUGGUUGAGGAGUAAGAGAGAUCUUUUCAUUUACACAUACGGAUGGAGCAUUGUACAUUUUCAGUGGAAACCUUCCUGCCAGCGCAUAUGGUUUUCUAAACAGAGUAGUUGCAGAAUUGCAUGCAGUUUUGACGGCAGUAGAGAGAGAAACAAUUUUUCAUAGUUGGUAUGCAUUUUCCUAACUCUUGUUGUUUUAAUAGGUUGAUUGCAUUUUAAGCAAACUCUAUAAAUACAUACAUCUCCGAGACAAAGUCCAUGGCCUAAUUUAGGUAUUCUCUUGUAUAGGCUCUGUUAGCAGUUGGAAAGGGUUUUUCUUUUGCUUGUUUCUUUGCUUGUUUUACAAGGAGAGUUCUGUCAGGCACAGCUCUAGUUGACUUGCCCUUCCCUGCUUUUUUGGACUCACUAAUUCUCCUUCUUGCAUCCAGGGUCACCGAUCAGGCACAGGGACAGUCCUGCUCUCCAGCAAGCAGGUCUGCAGAUCAAGCUGUGAGGAAGAGUCAUUGUAUGCCAACGUAGGGAAAAUGAGAGGGGAUCCAGCCAGAUUCUGAGUUACCCAGCACAUGAGAUGGCAUUCACGUGGAUUGCUGCGUGGAUUGCCCUCUCCCCUGUGAGGAUUCAUAUUCUGGGGGCAGGAUCCU